Molecule: long non-coding RNA, 778 nt
Organism: Equus caballus (horse)
Lineage: Eukaryota; Metazoa; Chordata; Mammalia; Perissodactyla; Equidae
Source: RefSeq, a predicted model, not a curated record
GCAGAACUGAACCCAAGCUGCAGCCUGGAGCCUGGAGCCAGGAGCUGGGAGAUGAGUCCAGCCUCACGCAGCAGAGGAGCUGUGCUGCUGACCCACUUACCCAUGACUGAGAGAGAACCACUGUGGUUGGUCUGGUCUCCGGACCAGUUCUUCACACAAAAUGAUAAUCCUCUGAUAACAUAAUCAUCACCAAGGAAACCGGAGACGAUGUCACAAACAGGAUUAUGACUUCAAGGACCCAGAUUUGCAUCUUUCACCCACUAAAGCUCCCAGCGUGCACCUCUGUGGGCCCCACUCCACAGCAUCAUGGGGUGGACACUGAGGCUUAAGAAGUUUCCACGAAGCUCCAGAUUGCUCAGCUGGAAGCAGCGGGGUAACGGCACAGACACACACCUCCCAACCCAAGCACUGUGCCCUGGCCAGAGCGUCAGCUGACCCCGAAGGACAGCGCCGCUGGGUGGGGCCAGGACUGACCAACCAUCCUGGAAGGCUCGUGAGCUGAGAGAAAGAGGGAACAGGGGAGAUCACUUCCUUCUAUCCAUCCCCCUGGUUGCACUUAAACUCUCUUAUGCCCCCCUUGUCCUCUUUUUCUUCUCCUUGGAACCACAGCCACACGGACCGGGGGGCUGGCAGCAGUGGGAGGCUGUGUCACCGCCGCUCACAGCAACAGCUGGGGACGAAUUCCCUCGGCUCCACGCGGAAGUCAAGGACUAUAAUUGGGUGUGCUUCAAAACAGUAAUCCCCACAGCUUUCAAACAGCACAAUAAAAAUAAAUUAA